Molecule: ribosomal RNA, 854 nt
Filed under: Curvularia tuberculata
Lineage: Eukaryota; Fungi; Ascomycota; Dothideomycetes; Pleosporales; Pleosporaceae
Description: LSU rRNA
Rfam family: Eukaryotic large subunit ribosomal RNA
Source: RNAcentral
ACAGGGAUUGCCCUAGUAACGGCGAGUGAAGCGGCAACAGCUCAAAUUUGAAAUCUGGCUCUUUCAGAGUCCGAGUUGUAAUUUGCAGAGGGCGCUUUGGCUUUGGCAGCGGUCCAAGUUCCUUGGAACAGGACGUCACAGAGGGUGAGAAUCCCGUACGUGGUCGCUAGCUAUUGCCGUGUAAAGCCCCUUCGACGAGUCGAGUUGUUUGGGAAUGCAGCUCUAAAUGGGAGGUAAAUUUCUUCUAAAGCUAAAUAUUGGCCAGAGACCGAUAGCGCACAAGUAGAGUGAUCGAAAGAUGAAAAGCACUUUGGAAAGAGAGUCAAACAGCACGUGAAAUUGUUGAAAGGGAAGCGCUUGCAGCCAGACUUGCUUGCAGUUGCUCAUCCGGGCUUUUGCCCGGUGCACUCUUCUGCAGGCAGGCCAGCAUCAGUUUGGGCGGUGGGAUAAAGGUCUCUGUCACGUACCUCUCUUCGGGGAGGCCUUAUAGGGGAGGCGACAUACCACCAGCCUGGACUGAGGUCCGCGCAUCUGCUAGGAUGCUGGCGUAAUGGCUGUAAGCGGCCCGUCUUGAAACACGGACCAAGGAGUCUAACAUCUAUGCGAGUGUUUGGGUGUCAAGCCCGAGCGCGUAAUGAAAGUGAACGGAGGUGGGAACCCGCAAGGGCGCACCAUCGACCGAUCCUGAAGUUUACGGAAGGAUUUGAGUAAGAGCAUGGCUGUUGGGACCCGAAAGAUGGUGAACUAUGCUUGAAUAGGGUGAAGCCAGAGGAAACUCUGGUGGAGGCUCGCAGCGGUUCUGACGUGCAAAUCGAUCGUCAAAUUUGGGCAUAGGGGCGAAAGACUAAUCGAAC